GUUACUUUUUUAAGAAAAAGAGGGAAAGGUAAUAAAAGGAUAGGAAAAAGUAGUAAAGGAAUGUUGCUGGUAUUGUCCAUUUGAAAAAUAGAGUGAUAUGUAAUGUAUUACUGAUACCCUCUCUCAGAGAGUUGAGUGAGAACAAAAAUAACUGAAAAAUAACCAUCAGCCUGUAGGAAAAUGGCAGUUUUGCCUCCCAUUUACCCUAAAUGGAAUCUGAAUUGAGUGGGCUGUAUAA
Molecule: long non-coding RNA, 238 nt
Filed under: Bos taurus (domestic cattle)
Lineage: Eukaryota; Metazoa; Chordata; Mammalia; Artiodactyla; Bovidae
Description: long non-coding RNA NONBTAT017042
Source: RNAcentral